GACGAACGCUGGCGGCGUGCCUAAUACAUGCAAGUUGAGCGAUGAAGAUUGGUGCUUGCACCAAUUUGAAGAGCAGCGAACGGGUGAGUAACGCGUGGGGAAUCUGCCUUUGAGCGGGGGACAACAUUUGGAAACGAAUGCUAAUACCGCAUAACAACUUUAAACAUAAGUUUUAAGUUUGAAAGAUGCAAUUGCAUCACUCAAAGAUGAUCCCGCGUUGUAUUAGCUAGUUGGUGAGGUAAAGGCUCACCAAGGCGAUGAUACAUAGCCGACCUGAGAGGGUGAUCGGCAACAUUGGGACUGAGACACGGCCCAAACUCCUACGGGAGGAAGCAGUAGGGAAUCUUCGGAAAUGGACGAAAGUCUGAACGAGCAACGCCGCGUGAGUGAAGAAGGUUUUCGGAUCGUAAAACUCUGUUGGAGAGAAGAACGUUGGUGAGAGUGGAAAGCUCAUCAAGUGACGGUAACUACCCAGAAAGGGACGGCUAACUACGUG
This 496-nucleotide ribosomal RNA is filed under the name uncultured bacterium. RNAcentral's name for it is "partial 16S ribosomal RNA". It matches the Rfam family "Bacterial small subunit ribosomal RNA", at positions 28 to 507 of the family's 1533-position model. The record is from RNAcentral.